This 465-nucleotide ribosomal RNA is filed under the name uncultured bacterium. Its description in RNAcentral is "partial 16S ribosomal RNA". It matches the Rfam family "Bacterial small subunit ribosomal RNA", at positions 28 to 507 of the family's 1533-position model. The record is from RNAcentral.
GAUGAACGCUGGCGGCGUGCUUAACACAUGCAAGUCGAACGGAAAGGCUCCUGCUUGCAGGGGUACUCGAGUGGCGAACGGGUGAGUAACACGUGGGUGAUCUGCCCUGCACUUCGGGAUAAGCCUGGGAAACUGGGUCUAAUACCGGAUAGGACGAUGGUUUGGAUGCCAUUGUGGAAAGUUUUUCGGUGUGGGAUGAGCUCGCGGCCUAUCAGCUUGUUGUUGGGGUAAUGGCCUACCAAGGCGUCGACGGGUAGCCGGCCUGAGAGGGUGUACGGACACAUUGGGACAGAGAUACGGCCCAGACUCCUACGGGAGGCAGCAGUGGGGAAUAUUGAACAAUGGGCGGAAGCCUGAUGCAGCGACGCCGCGUGGGGGAUGACGGCCUUCGGGUUGUAAACUCCUUUCGCUAGGAACGAAGCGAAAGUGACGGUACCUGGAGAAGAAGCACCGGCUAACUACGUG